CGCAAGCCUGACGGAGCAAGACCGCGUGGGGGAGGAAAGCCUUUGGGUUGUAAACCCCUUUUCUCAGGGAAGAAGAAAGUGACGGUACCUGAGGAAUCAGCCUCGGCUAACUCCGUGCCAGCAGCCGCGGUAAUACGGAGGAUGCAAGCGUUAUCCGGAAUUAUUGGGCGUAAAGCGUCCGCAGGUGGCUUGUCAAGUCUGCUGUCAAAGACUGGGGCUUAACUCCGGGCAGGCAGUGGAAACUGAAUAGCUAGAGUGCGGUAGGGGCAGAGGGAAUUCCCGGUGUAGCGGUGAAAUGCGUAGAGAUCGGGAAGAACACCGGUGGCGAAAGCGCUCUGCUGGGCCGCAACUGACACUGAGGGACGAAAGCUAGGGGAGCG
This 380-nucleotide ribosomal RNA is filed under the name uncultured cyanobacterium. Its description in RNAcentral is "bacterial SSU rRNA". It matches the Rfam family "Bacterial small subunit ribosomal RNA", at positions 376 to 770 of the family's 1533-position model. The record is from RNAcentral. Lineage: Bacteria; Bacillati; Cyanobacteriota.